AAGACCUUGCGCUUUUGGAGCGGCCGAUGUCUGAUUAGCUUGUUGGUAAGGUAAAAGCUUACCAAGGCUUCGAUCAGUAGCUGGUCUGAGAGGACGACCAGCCACGCUGGGACUGAGACACGGCCCAGACUCCUACGGGAGGCAGCAGUGGGGAAUUUUGGACAAUGGGGGCAACCCUGAUCCAGCCAUGCCGCGUGAGUGAAGAAGGCCUUCGGGUUGUAAAGCUCUUUCAGCCGGAACGAAACGGUUACGGUUAAUACCCGUGACUACUGACGGUACCGGAAGAAGAAGCACCGGCUAACUACGUGCCAGCAGCCGCGGUAAUACGUAGGGUGCAAGCGUUAAUCGGAAUUACUGGGCGUAAAGCGUGCGCAGGUGGUUUUGUAAGUCAGAUGUGAAAUCCCCGGGCUUAACCUGGGAACU
Molecule: ribosomal RNA, 423 nt
Filed under: uncultured bacterium
Lineage: Bacteria
Description: bacterial SSU rRNA
Rfam family: Bacterial small subunit ribosomal RNA
Source: RNAcentral